Molecule: ribosomal RNA, 500 nt
Filed under: uncultured bacterium
Lineage: Bacteria
Description: partial 16S ribosomal RNA
Rfam family: Bacterial small subunit ribosomal RNA
Source: RNAcentral
AUUGAACGCUGGCGGCAGGCCUAACACAUGCAAGUCGAGCGGAUGACGGGAGCUUGCUCCUUGAUUCAGCGGCGGACGGGUGAGUAAUGCCUAGGAAUCUGCCUGGUAGUGGGGGACAACGUUUCGAAAGGAACGCUAAUACCGCAUACGUCCUACGGGAGAAAGCAGGGGACCUUCGGGCCUGGCGCCAUCAGAUGAGCCUAGGUCGGAUUAGCUAGUUGGUGAGGUAAUGGCUCACCAAGGCGACGAUCCGUAACUGGUCUGAGAGGAUGAUCAGUCACACUGGAACUGAGACACGGUCCAGACUCCUACGGGAGGCAGCAGUGGGGAAUAUUGGACAAUGGGCGAAAGCCUGAUCCAGCCAUGCCGCGUGUGUGAAGAAGGUCUUCGGAUUGUAAAGCACUUUAAGUUGGGAGGAAGGGCAGUAAGCUAAUACCUUGCUGUUUUGACGUUACCGACAGAAUAAGCACCGGCUAACUCUGUGCCAGCAGCCGCCGUAA